Molecule: long non-coding RNA, 1435 nt
Filed under: Homo sapiens (human)
Lineage: Eukaryota; Metazoa; Chordata; Mammalia; Primates; Hominidae
Description: HSALNT0078671
Source: RNAcentral
GUUGUAGCUCUCCAGUAGGCCUCCACUGAACAUCGCCUUGUCUGGAAGGGAUAGGAGUGCCUUUUAACUGCUUCCCACAGAGCCUCUGCUUACACCAGAAUGGAGGGGUCUUAUUAGCACUGGCGUUGAUGGCAAUCCUGAUUCUCUAUUUAACUUCCUCUGAUAUCACUCCAGUCAGGAGUGGGUGGAGGUCACCUUAUGAUGGAUAGAAAUUCUACAUCCACAAGUAGUCACCACUGACAUCAAGGGGAGGGAGAUGGCUUAUUAUCUACCCAAUAAGGAUGAAAGUCCUGGCUUUCUAAUUGGCCUUCUCUGACACCACAAGGGAGGAAUUAGGUGCCUAGAAAAUGUGGAAGUCUACUUUCCCCACCCUUACUGACACAAAUCUCAGUGACACCGGCAUAAACAAGCUGACAGGAGGAUACGGUUUAAGAAUUUACAAGAUUUCUAACUGCCAAUAGGCCAGACAUCCUCAGGCAAGCACCUUCUCUCCCUGUAGGCAAGGUUAAUUAAACAUGCCAACUUAUUAGAAAAAAAAGAGGAAGGAAGGAAAUUAUGUUUCACAGCGCAUCUUAUAUAAGAGAUCAGAGCAAGAAUCAAAAGGUGUUCUGUGAGAAGAAAAAUGUACAAUAAUGGAAGACAGGCACUCUCUCAGACUGUACUCAAUUAAGGUAAAAGAGGACCAUUAAUGAGUCUCAGAACUACAGAGAGAAUAUAAAUGCAUAUUGGCUGGGCUGAAUAUAUAGACGUCAGCAGGUCCCAAGAGGCCUUGCCAUUCUGUUGUUACAUCUUUGACUGUUUCUGCUGUCAUGUAAGAAAAUCCAGCUGGACUACCUAAUGAAGAAACUGCAUGAUGAAAGCGGCUCACACAACAGCCAUCACCGAGGCACCAGACAGGAAUCCAGAAGUUUCUGCCAAAACCCACAGGGAGCAUGGAAGAUAGCUGAGGAGAGAGUCAGAGGCUUGCACUGAAGAGGCAGUGGCCAAGUGGCAUAAAGGAAGCUGAACCCACCACAUCAGAGACACCUGGCCCAGGGAGGUAGGCUGAGGCACAGGAGAGCUGCAGUGUCUCUCUCAAAGGGCCUUCCAUCCUAAAGAAAAUACUUCUGAACAAGGAUGUGCGUGUAUUUCCCGCCAUAUGUGGCACUAUGUAUUAUCUCUAUCUCAAAAUCAAUCAUUUCAUAUGUUUUAAUAAAAUUAUACAGUGAUUUAAUCACAACUGUAAAAUGUGUUAAUAAAAGAUAAUUGUAUACAUACAUUUUAAUGCACAAAUUAAAUUUCUGUAAAGGGAACUUUACUAACUGUGACAGUAGUCAAAGUUUAAUGUCCCAUGAAAAGGUUAAGAAUGUCAGGUUGGUUUUCACAGAAUAUUAACCUAUUGUACCAGAAAAUUAAAAUAAGAGAAAGAAUUAAAUAAAUAAGCUCACUAAUGGUA